GCUUUUAUAUCUCAGUCUGCUACGAACUAUGCCAAUUUGGCCCAGGUGCAUGCUGCUGAGAAUGCUAAAUCAUUUGACGAGAUAGAGUUUGAGAAAGUAUUGCGCAAGAAGUUUGCACGCAGGGAUGAGGAGUACGAUUCGAUGCUUGGAGUGGUUCGUGAAGUCCCUCAAGAACUAAUUCUUCCCGACAACAUCUUACCGAACAAAUCUCCCAAGCCUUCUCAGAUAGGCUGAGAUUGCCAGCCCACCUCACCAAAUUGGUGUUGUGAGCUUGUUGUAAAGGGAUGAUGAGUUUGGUGGUUUAUGCCAUCCCAAUAAUUUCAGGUCGGUCUCAUCUCUGGGAUCGGCCAUGCACUUUUUCCCUGUUUUUUUGUUUUUUCUUGGAAUCUGAAAUUGCUUCCGGAUGAUGUGAACAAGAGACGAUGGUUUUGAUGACUCUUGUAGAGCACUUGGCAUACUUCAGAAACCUGUCUGAAUAUAGUGGUGCUUGGAGUAAUAAGUUAUUCAAUUGUGAGAUAGAAACAUCCAUCAUGGAGACACUGAAUCCAGAAGCUGAUAUCUUCUUGUUGGUUGUCAUUUGUUUUGUGCCAUCAGUAGACAUUGAAUUCGGAUGCUCAUCUCUUCUAUUAGCCAGUUUUUGUUGUGUUGUCAUUCUUGUAGUUAUUAUGUCCAUUUGGGAGCUGAGCUCUUAAUGAUAUUUUCUAGCUCUGUGCUUCAUCACAGGUCAAUCAACCAAAAUCAGUGUGAUUUCACAAACAUGUGCAGACUAUUCCAUUGAUUCGAUCCAUAGGAGAAGGAUUGAUUAAAAAAUUUAAUGAGCUCGCAUGCUUUCUGAAACAACUCUUAGCCAAUUUGCCAAUUUUAACAGAUACUUCUCUCUCUAAUAUUCAAUCGAAGAUUUUGAGCCUUCUUUUGUCUUUACCAUAAUGCUAAUGCUCUCCUUCAGUAUAUUAAUACCAAAUAAUAAUAAUAAAAAAAUUAGGUAGAUAAGUAAAGAUGAUGGAAAUAUUGUAUUUUUAAUAGCCAUGCCAUCUAAAAAACUUGAUUAACCACAUCAAAGCCAAUAUUAACUUCCUUUAUGAUCAUGAUUAUAUUGUCAAGGCUUUUGUGGAUGUUUGUUUACCUAUCUUUUUUUGGAUCCAAAAGAUGUGGUCAGAGAUGGGUCUCAAUGUUGGGGUUUGGAUCCAAACCCUUUUGACUUUUAUCUUGAAAUGUCAUUUGUCCUCUCAAAUCAAAGGCCUAUACCUAUAUCUCUUUUGAACAACUUAGAUCUGAUUUUUAUCAAAUUGGUUGGGAUAUUUACUUGUGAAUAGAUCUUGGAAUAUGAAUCCGGUGGUCCCAAUAAUGAUGCAUGGAUUUGGAAGUUUGAUAAGAGGGACAUUCAUGGCUGAUCCAACUAUGCAGACUCUUGAGCUUGGGGAUGGAUGGCAGGCAAGUGCUUUGCUACUUACACUAUUGUGUUAGAUGCUUAAACAGUGCCCUCUCUCCCAACCUCAAUAGACUUGUUGAUUUUGGAUUAUGGCUGCUUCCAAUUACCUUAUUUUGUGGCCAUGCACAAUAUAUUUUCUUUAAAUAUCCCUUUUCCUAGUUAUUAUGUGAGGCCUCCUUGUAAAACAAGUUUAGAUUUUUUGAUCAAUGGGUGGAUGGGAUGGCAUGUGGUUUAAUAAGGGAAAUGAUGCCUCCUUGUAAUUUUUAGCUUCCUUUAUGUGCUUUUAUCACCAAUGUUCUAUGUAUGAUAUUGAAAGCUAGAAAUGGGGCUGAUCGUAUUCCAAAUUGUUAUCCCUAUUGCCAACUGUGUGCUAUCAUCUCAUUGAACUUUUGGAAUCCGACUUGUUGAUGCCGGUUUCAAUGUUCUUCCCAGAAUUAAAUGUCUUCUUUCUUUUGUGCAUAACAGUCUUUUAAGUUAACAUGCACACCAAAAUUUCACAUACAUUAAAUGAAACCAGUUGCAGGCAUUAGGCAUUGACUUCUCCACUUGAACUUUGACUUUCUUUCAGCGCACAUCAACUUAGUUGACUUCACCAAAUGGCUGCGAGUGAAGACUACAUUGAAAAACCCAGACUGAAUCAUUAUUCAACGACACAUAUUUUAGCUAAGAUGUUCAUGUCACUAGGCAGCAUCCACAAAUUAAUACAAUCCAACUAUCAUUCAGCAUACAAGUUAUACUUAAUUAUUUACGAAUAAACAUAUUUUUUAAUUUUUUCUAAUAACUUUCUGUAUUUAUCUUAAUAUUUUCAUCUUAACAACAUAAGUUUUUUAUACAUUUUAUUUUUUAAUUAAGUAUUAAAUAAUUAAGAAAUAAUAUACAAAAAGAUUGUGUUGGUGAGAUAAAAAUACUAAGAUGGAUAUAUGGAAUUAUCACAAAAGAUAGGAAAAAAAUAUUUUUAUUUAUGAAUAAUCAAAUAUAGCUUUGAUAAAUCAUUUAAGAUGAUAUGAAUAUAUACCUAAAAGUAUUUUAGAAUAUAUGAAAUAAUUAAUAUUAAUAUUUUAAAAGAUUCAUACAUAAUCGAUUCUAAAUAUUUAGAAUAUAUGAUUUGAUUAUUUUUAUUAUUAUUGUAGAAGAAUAAGAAUGAGAUUGGUGUGUCUGCAGUGAAUUGGCUCCUGAGUUGUUCAGAGGCCAUCAGAACUCUUUCCACAGGUUUCAAUCGUCAUGUAAAGUACAAACAGCAAACUAAAAGUCUCAUCCAGCGGAAAACCUGCAGCCACCAACCCAAACCUGCAGCCACCAACCCCCGAGCUUUAAGAGCUGAUACCGACAACAAAGAUGAAGACCGCAGCAUAAGCCAACAAGAGUUGUCGUCAGAGACAACUCUUAGCCUGCCGUAGCCAUCGCGUGGAAUUGUUUUGCCCACUAAGGAGCGUAAAGACUUGGGAGUGAAUGCGUCAGCUCUGAUGCAUGCGAAUCUACCGCUUUCGUUUUCCAGCCGCCUGUUUCAGGGAUCUCGGAUCACCGUCCGUUCUUCGCAUCGUUAAAUCUUAGUCGUCGAACGAAUACAAGUCAUGCUGCGACAGGUGGACGGAGCUCGUUGAUUACAGGAAUUAUAGUUACUUAAAUAAAUUAUAUAAAACUUUACUCGGAUAAUAAUUAAGCUACUCGUAUUCAUAUCAAAACCUGAUUAGAUCUAUCAAUGAAAUUUUAGUUGCCAUUAAGAUAUUCGAUCAAUUUUUUUUAUUUUUAUCAUUUUCUUGAUAGCUACUUUGAUUAUUCUUAAUGGUUUUUUUGCAUUUAUUUUGCCAAAAGCCAUAGAGUUGGAAUUAAGAAAAGGAAUAAAAACCCGCAUAUAGAUAUAUAAUAAUAAUAAUAAUACUAAUAAUAAGCAGGAAGAAGUUUGAUAGGGCAUAUUUUGACAUCGCCCAUGUGGACCUAGGCAAGCAGACACGAUAAUGCAGACGUGGUACCUCAAGUACGAUGUGGUGCACAACACACACGUGGUGGACAGUCAUUUAGCACCCCCUCCAUACGAACGACGAUAUCAUCAUAAUACAGCCACCCCGAAAAGUUCGAGAUGGCGUCGCACAGUGUCGAUCCGUGCAGGUCGGUCGGCGCUCGUACAUUCGGUUGCCUGAGGAGCCAGCCACAAUAAAUUGACCCCGUACCACCAACUCAUCCUCGUAGGUAUAAAAGCUAAUCCUUCCUAAUCAGGAAGGGGAGGCGCUUCGAACACUCAACUCUCUCUCAUUCCAUCAAAAGCUAACUUAAGCUUCAGAGGGGUCGAGUCAAGAAAUCCCCCUCCCGACCCUGACCUAUGUGCAAGAGCUCAACGACGAAGAAGCAGGCCACUCGUCAAGAGAGAAGACUACGCUCGGGGGACGAGGCUCGAACCCGACCCAACCCGAUGCUCACCCUCACCACCCGAGCAUCAGUGUGGCCAACCUUGUGCAUCCGGGACCAAACCAAGCUAUGCUGACACCUAAGCUACGACAUAAAGGUUCACCAUCAUUUUGGAGCUAGAAGGAGGGCCUGAUAUUGUAAGGAUGCCCCCAACUGAGCAAACCGAGCACAACACUCCAGACCCUCGAUGAUCCUACCCGAGCACCCUCGAGCCUAACACACUGUCAUCUAAUUCGACGAACUCUUUCCGGGCUCAGCUACACUCGGUCAAUUUACGUCUUGAUAAGGUCCAAAAGAAGUUUCACAAAUCCAAGGAAGAGCUCAGCGAGGCUCCCCCAACAGGGUCCCCAUUUGUGCAGGAGACUCAAGACAAGUCGACCUCGCAAAACUUCUGCCUUCCUGUGCUCAAGCCUUACCAAGGUAGCUUCGACCCAACAAAGCAAGUCGUCGCAUUUCAGGCCCAGAUGGCCCUAUAUGACACUUCGAAUGCCCUGAAGUGCCCAAGUUGUGUAGCUCGACCAAAUAGUGCCUCAAUGGUGUACCUCGGUCAAACAGAGCACGAGUUGUGCACCUUGGCCAAAUAGUGCCACAAUGGUACACCUCGGCCAUAUAGUGCCUCAAUGUGCACAUUAGCCAAAUAGUGCCUCAAUGGUAUAUCUCGAUCAAAAAGUGCCCGAAUUAUGUACCUUGACCAAAUAAUGCCUCAAUGGUGCACCUCGGCCAAACAAUGCCCGAGUUAUUCACCUCAGCCAAAGAGUGCCUCAAUGGUGUACCUUGGUCAAACAGUGCCCGAGUUGUGCACCUUAGCCAAAAAGUGCCUCAACGGUGCACCUCGGUCAAAAAGUGCCUGAGUUAUACACCUUGGCUAAACAGUGCCCGAGUUGUGCACCUCGGCCAAAUAGUGCCUCAACGGUGCAUCUCGAUCAAACAGUGCUCAUCGGUAAAUGAAAAAGUAAUAAUCUCUGCUGCUGUUUUGGUAGUGUAAAUGCCUCUCCUUUGGUCAUCUUCUCUCCUAAAGAUACCGAGUCUCAAGACAGGUGGAUAGAAAUUAAAACACAUAAACUACCGUAGUUGACGGUCCAUAACUAUUGCUCUUUCCACCUGCCUUUUCUUCUCUUUGGUCACUGCAUGCAUCAACACUGCGCAAUCACCCAACUCAUGGCUUCACUAGACACCGACNNNNNNNNNNNNNNNNNNNNAUGCAUCAACACUGCGCAAUCACCCAACUCAUGGCUUCACUAGACACCGACCCAGCAAGGUGUUUGAUGUCUAGUGAAGCCAUGAGUUGGGUGAUUGCGCAGUGUCGAUGCAUGCAGUGACCAAACCAAAGAGAAGAUGAGGCAGGUGGAAAGGGCAAUAGUUAUGGACCGUCAACUACGGUAGUUUCAAUGUGCUUUAAUUUCGAUCCACCUGUCUUGAGACUCGGUAUCUUUAGGAGAGAAGAUGACCAAAGGAGAGGCAUUUACUACACUGCCAAAACAGCAGCAUAGAUUAUUACUUUUCAUUUUUUUUUGUGCAUGUAUCCACAGCAAGAACCCAACCCUUCUAUGAUUCAGUCAUCUAAUCUAUCAAAAAGUCAAAUCUUUUAAGGUGUUGUUUAGUGUCUUGAAUUCAGAUUAUCAGGAAAAAUCCAACAUUUUACUCUCUCUCUCUCUCUCUCUCUCUCUCUCUCUCUCUCUCUCUCUCUCUCUUCUCUCUCCUAUUUUGAUAGGUGUGUCAAAUUUUGCAAGGAAUGAUGCAGUCCAAGACUUCCUUAUUUUGACUUGAUUAUUCUUCGAGUUCCAUUCAUUAUUUGCAAUAAAAUAGACAAAUUUUGGUGCCUAAGUCAAGGUACAGAACUGAAGGUUGUGAAUGAUGGCACCUACCCAGUUCCACCACCACAACCAGUAUCACCUACCUUUUAAGUCCAUAUACUCGAUAAUUAUUUUGAAAAAGGAAGGAUUGGCUGAACUUGAAAUUUGUCUAUUCAAAUGAGUAAAUGAUUGUUUCUAUUUGGUGGUUCAUAGCAGCUAUAUUAAGUGAUAUUUCCCCUGCAUUUGUUCUUUCUAUAUGGUUGUUCUUUAUAUUGCUUCAUCUUCUUAAGCUGUCAUUCCCUCACAAUAAAUAAAUACUCCUUUCUUCUAGCAAUUCAUGUCUCAUUUUAUUAUGUAUUUAGACCUUUUAACCUGGAGCAAUCUAGUAGACUCAAUUUGUUCUAGGGGUUGAAAUGCAGAACUGAUCAUGUAGAUAGAUUCCGUCUCCCUUGCAUUACUUCUUGCCUCUAUUGAAGGUCCUUGAUUGCCAUUGUUCUCAUGAAUUUGGUAUCUGUACAUUGCAAGUAGAUAGCACAUAUAAAGGGCUAGCUCUUUCAUGUGUUGAAUCAUGGACUUGUUAUAUUUUUUAUUUGUAAAUUCAGAUUCAGAUUUAUGAGAUUUGCCUUUUAGUCUAGUGCCAGAUCCAAAGGCAUGACAAACUCAAUUGUGAGAUAUAAACAUCCAUCAUGGACUAUGUUUCGUAUGCCAUCCCAAUAAUUUCAGGUCGGUCUCAUCUCUGGGAUCGGCCAUGCACUUUUGCCCUGUUUUUUUGUUCUUUCUUGGAAUCUGAAAUUGCUUUCAGAUGAUGUGAACAAGAGACGAUGGUUUUGAUGACUCUUGUAGAACACUUGGCAUACUUCAGAAACCUGUCUGAAAAUAGUGGUGCUUGGGAGUAAUAAGUUAUUCAAUUGUGAGAUAGAAACAUCCAUCAUGGAGAAGCUGAUGUCUUCUUGUUGGUUGUCCUUUGUUUUGUGCCAUCGGUAGUCAUUGAAUUCGGAUGGUCAUCUCUUCUAUUAGCCAGUUUUUGUUGUGUUAUCAUUCUUGUAGGUAUUAUGUCCAUUUGGGAGCUGAGCUCUUAAUGAUAUUUUCUAGCUCUAUGCUUCAUCACAGAUCAAUCAACCAAAAUCAGUGUGAUUUCACAAACAUGUGUAGACUAUUCCAUCGAU
RNAcentral lists this long non-coding RNA (6791 nucleotides) under Musa acuminata (dwarf banana). RNAcentral's name for it is "long non-coding RNA (MACU_LNC001154)". Lineage: Eukaryota; Viridiplantae; Streptophyta; Magnoliopsida; Zingiberales; Musaceae. The record is from RNAcentral.